This 1297-nucleotide small RNA is filed under the name Drosophila ananassae. RNAcentral describes it as "GF27556". The record is from RNAcentral. Lineage: Eukaryota; Metazoa; Arthropoda; Insecta; Diptera; Drosophilidae.
UCGAAAUUUCUAAUUGAACGCGAAUCAGGUGAGCGGGACGCGUCCGGAAACAAACCACUACCGAACCCUCACAUCCCCCAACAUGAAAAGACAUUAACACCAGCGAGCGUCAUCUGGCCAAUGGAUUGUGUUUUAAGCCAAGUUUCGUCCUGAUUGAACCUUGAUCUACAGUAACCAGGAACACCACACCUGCGUGCUACAAAACGACCAACGUGUGCUAGAGGUGGAACAAAAUGUGUAUUGGUAAAUGCCGAUAGUAACUAUCGAUUAGCAUAGAGGUGGAAAAUAAUGUGUAUUGGUAAAUGCCGAUAAAACUUCCUCGUCUAUAAAUACGCUUUUUUCCACCAAUUCGGGACUCAACGCUUCUUAAACAGCGUCAUUUCAAGCAAAAAAGCAUCAUUCAGAUGGCGAAGAAGACAAUAGAAUAUGAAGAUGAUGAAGAAUGCCGUCCAGCGUAACAGGACGACCAUGUGCGACAUUCACCCUAGGUCGACGGCAAAACCGGCCGAAAUUGCGUUUUGGUACUAAAAGAACAAGGAUGAGGCCAUAUGAGGCAUGAAAAGAUUCGGGCUAAGAAAAUAGACAUUUGCAAAUGAAAUGUGAACGAAGCAGUCCUGUUGGACGCCUUUCGUUUGGCCCCAACUAUGCAGGGCGUUUCUACUUUCGGUGCUUGACCUAUGACCAAUGUCAUCGUAAUUGGUUGCUUGCGAACACAAGAGCCACCCAGCUCAGUUCAAGGAAUACGACGAUGAAGUAAACCAAUCUUGAGUGCGGAUCAUUGGCAAAGAAAGGAGCCAAUAAAGAGGAAGCUUAGAUUGCUGAAGGGACAGAUUCGGCCAAGGAUCCGGAUUCCCAUUCUGAGCACCACAUUAAGAGCGGCAUGCUGCACGCCGGAAACCGAUCGAAGGAGGAGGAGCUGCAGCCGCUAAGGCUUUCCCUUGACUAAGGGACCAGAUCGCAAACAAGCUAGGCAAGCAACAGCGGAUGGAGCUCAAAAGGCUACUGGUUGGCGGACGGAACAGAACUGGCGGUAGUAGCGGGCUUUCUAUACAAAUUUGAUGGCGUGAAGCGACUGGACUGGCCGUCGGAGCAGCUUGAGAAUCGUCACAUGGCCGCACCGCUUUCAAAAAUGAGAAGGAAUUCGAAGCAGAGUCGCGGCCAGCAGAAGGCACAGAUUUAACAUGGACCACAUUGGGGCGGGAAUCAUUUAAGUAGAAAUGCAAAGGCUUAACUUCAAAAAGAAAUUAUUUUGUGGGCUUAUCUUAAUAAAAACUUGUAUCUAAAAUUUUGGCCAAAA